RNAcentral lists this ribosomal RNA (397 nucleotides) under uncultured bacterium. RNAcentral describes it as "partial 16S ribosomal RNA". It matches the Rfam family "Bacterial small subunit ribosomal RNA", at positions 523 to 918 of the family's 1533-position model. The record is from RNAcentral.
AUACGUAGGGGGCGAGCGUUGUCCGGAAUGAUUGGGCGUAAAGGGCGCGUAGGCGGCCCGGUAAGUCUGGAGUGAAAGUCCUGUUCUUAAGCGGGGUAUUGCUUUGGAUACUGUUGGGCUUGAGUGCAGGAGAGGUACGGGGAAUUCCCAGUGUAGCGGUGAAAUGCGUAGAGAUUGGGAGGAACACCAGUGGCGAAGGCGACUUACUGGACUGUAACUGACGCUGAGGCGCGAAAGUGUGGGGAGCAAACAGGAUUAGAUACCCUGGUAGUCCACACUGUAAACGAUGAAUGCUAGGUGUAGGGGGUAUCGACCCCUUCUGUGCCGCAGUCAACACAAUAAGCAUUCCGCCUGGGGAGUACGGCCGCAAGGUUGAAACUCAAAGGAAUUGACGGGG